This is a long non-coding RNA of Artibeus jamaicensis (Jamaican fruit-eating bat), 363 nucleotides long. RefSeq lists it as uncharacterized. NCBI's taxonomy places the organism in Eukaryota, Metazoa, Chordata, Mammalia, Chiroptera, Phyllostomidae. The record is from RefSeq and is a predicted model, not a curated record. The transcript is spliced from 2 exons.
AUGCCUCUAAUGCCGGAAGGAGAAAAGGGGGAAGGACAGAGUAAAUGAGAGGCAUCAUCAGAAGCAUUUGCAGGUUUCCCUGGAAGACCCGGAGAAAGAAGGAAAGCGGGCGAGCCGCGGAGCUGGAGGGACGAAGUUACCUUGAAGCUUCUGGGGAAGAAUUCGAAGAUGAUCUGUGUUUUUGAGGGGUGGGAGACUGGCAAGAGGGCCGCAGCGGGGGCGUAUGGCGGGACCGGGACUUGAGGUGGGAGGUCCGGACAGCAGGCAGGGAACCCAGGGAGACGGCUGUCCUGCGCGGGGUCCCUCCGGUUCCGCGGCGGCGGCACCUCUAGGCCUCACGGCUGGACCUGAAUCUCAGCGUUC